RNAcentral lists this ribosomal RNA (552 nucleotides) under uncultured fungus. RNAcentral describes it as "eukaryotic LSU rRNA". The stretch from base 176 to 329 matches the Rfam family "5.8S ribosomal RNA". The record is from RNAcentral. Lineage: Eukaryota; Fungi.
UACCGAGUGAGGGCCCUCUGGGUCCACCUCCCACCCAUGUUUAUUGUACCUUGUUGCUUCGGCGGGCCCGCCUCACGGCCGCCGGGGGGCUUCUGCCCUCUGGCCCGCGCCCGCCGAAGACACCAUUGAACACUGUCUGAAGAUUGCAGUCUGAGCAAUUAGCUAAAUAAGUUAAAACUUUCAACAACGGAUCUCUUGGUUCCGGCAUCGAUGAAGAACGCAGCGAAAUGCGAUACGUAAUGUGAAUUGCAGAAUUCAGUGAAUCAUCGAGUCUUUGAACGCACAUUGCGCCCCUUGGUAUUCCGGGGGGCAUGCCUGUCCGAGCGUCAUUGCUGCCCUCAAGCACGGCUUGUGUGUUGGGCCCCGUCCUCCUUCCCGGGGGACGGGCCCGAAAGGCAGCGGCGGCACCGCGUCCGGUCCUCGAGCGUAUGGGGCUUUGUCACCCGCUCUUGUAGGCCCGGCCGGCGCUUGCCGACAACAAUCAAUCUUUUUUCAGGUUGACCUCGGAUCAGGUAGGGAUACCCGCUGAACUUAAGCAUAUCAAUAAGCGGA